UAAAAAACAAUUUUGAUGUAAAACAAAACAUAGAAAUUACAGACUUACAAAGUGGCUCUGGAAUGAAACAAUAUUAGAUUAAAUGGUAAAAAUAUAUUUCUUAGGCUCAGGAGUGAUAUUGUCUAAAUAAUUCAGACAGAAUUUUCGUGGGAUUUGUGUCUUCAAGGGACUGCCACCCUAUUACCUUUUGUUAGGGCUCUCAGGGACUCCAUAUUGGAGAUCAUUCGAGAAUGAUAUGCACAUUUGAUUCGGGACCCCCUCUGGGGACACUCGCUCGCAAGAGCCCAAUUUGUGGGAAGGCCACACUUUCGGCAUGGUGGUCUGAAAGAUGGAAACGGCUUGAGUCCUUCGGAAGCUCCACUGAAGAGACUCCUGCUCGAGGGAAGGGAGCGCUCCGCCAGAAGGCUUAGCAGCUACCAGUGCGGUGAGCCAAAUUUCCAAUGGUUUCAUCUCUUUUCUAGCGGCCAUAAAGGGCGUAGGCUAAUAUAACCUUUUCUCGGUUUUCAGGAGCCGGGAUUUACUGAUUUAUUCAUUCAUUUAUUUCAUUCGUUGAGUAAUUUAUCUCAAAAGCUUCAAAAAUCCUAGAAGUCAAUUUAGUUUUGGAGACCUCCUGGAGCGAAGAAUUUAAACACGCCAUCUACCUCUGCCACGUCAUUUUGGUACCACGUGCGCGGCCCCUGAGCUCUACGUCUCCGCUCAGCAUCUAGCUUCACCGGGGAAAGCAGCCUGUCACCCCGCUGCAUCUGAGGAACGUUUAAAUUCUGAGGUCGGUCCUUUCCAUGAUUUAAUUUAGUAGGGCAUCAGCGCCAGCUGCAAAGUUUAGAGUAAAUUUGGAAUUUUGAGCAACCACUAAAGUAAGAUAAAGACAUUUGAAAAUCCUGGUACAUAGUAUUUAGUAUAAAAUAAAUUAGUUCUUAAAUAAGUAGAAUUCUGUGUGAAGCUUUAUCCUGGACCUGUUAAGCGGCCCAGCUUUCCACUGAGCUAAGUUCUGAAAUUAGGUGUCGUCAAAUCAAGUUAAAGGUUCACAUAGAAGUCAACAAGUUUAGAUUUAUCAACUAACAUUCCAUAGGCAAGAUAUUUAGGCUUAAAUAAAGUUUCUAUAAUAUAA
Cydia fagiglandana is the source of this 1108-nucleotide long non-coding RNA. RefSeq lists it as uncharacterized. Lineage: Eukaryota; Metazoa; Arthropoda; Insecta; Lepidoptera; Tortricidae. The transcript has 2 exons. The record is from RefSeq and is a predicted model, not a curated record.